RNAcentral lists this microRNA precursor (92 nucleotides) under Drosophila pseudoobscura. RNAcentral's name for it is "microRNA dps-mir-2557 precursor". Lineage: Eukaryota; Metazoa; Arthropoda; Insecta; Diptera; Drosophilidae. The record is from miRBase by way of RNAcentral.
GGUGACCCGCUUUCACACAGGUAUGCUGUAGCAAGGAUCACUUUGAGGGCAGUCCCACUUCAGAUCCUUUUUCCGGCAUUAGGUUUGGUCCU